Oryza brachyantha (malo sina) is the source of this 1800-nucleotide RNA transcript. It is a transcript of the gene named microfibrillar-associated protein 1-like, with no coding region annotated. The transcript is spliced from 4 exons. Lineage: Eukaryota; Viridiplantae; Streptophyta; Magnoliopsida; Poales; Poaceae. The record is from RefSeq and is a predicted model, not a curated record.
CCCUCCGAGGCUUCGUCUCCUCUCCUCUCCCUCGCGAGUUCGCCCGCCGCGCCGCCUCGCCUCGCCUCGCCUCGCCUGCGCCGGCGUCCUACUGAGUACUGCCUCCGCCGCAUCGUCGCCGCCCGCGUUUUGAGCGGGAGGGAAAUAGGUGAGGAGGCGCGGUAGCCAUGUCGGUGGCGGCCGGGGUCAGCGAUGCCGCCAUCGCGGUGCGCGACAAGCUCCGCGGGAAGAUUGGCCAGACCAAGGUGAAGCGGUACUGGCCCGGGAAGGCGCCUGAGUGGGCUGACGCCGGCGAGGACGACGCCGAUCUCCAGACGACUAAGGUUUCCCUUGACAAGGCGUUCCCCAAGGAUGAGGAUGGCGGCGCGCCUGCCAAGGCGGAUGACCGCCGCCUUCGCCGCCUCGCGCAGACCCGUGAGGAGAACAAGGAGGAGCUGAGGGCGGAUCACCGUCGCAUACGGCAAGCCGAGAUUGUGUCUACCGUGGAUGAGGAGAAUGAGAGGCAGGAAGCUGAGCUGGAAGAGGAGGAUGAGGAGGCCCAGGAGGAGAGGAGGAGGAGGAUAAGGGAGCGGCAACUCUUGAGGGAGCAGGAGGAGUUGCUUCCUCAGGAGGAGGAGGAGCCGAUUGAGGAGGAGGAGGAAGAGGAGGAAUCUGAAUAUGAGACUGACUCGGAGGAUGAACAGAUGGGCAUGGCGAUGGUGAAGCCUGUCUUCAUACCAAAGUCACAGCGGGACACUAUCGCUGAGCGUGAGCGGCUGGAGGAGGAGGAGCGGCAGCUUGAGGAGCUAGUCAAGAAGAGGCUGGAGGCUAGGAAAAUUGAGACUAGGCAGAUUGUCGUUGAAGAAAUUAGGAAGGAGGAACACAUCGAGAAGACACUGAACGAGGAGGCUAACAUUGAGGAUGUUGAUACAGAUGAUGAGUUGAAUGAAGCGGAGGAGUAUGAGUCAUGGAAGAAUCGAGAAAUUGCAAGAAUUAAGAGGGACAGGGAGGAGAGAGAUGCAAGGUUGAAGGAGAAGGAGGAGAUCGAGAAGGUCAGGAAUAUGACUGAGGAGGAGCGUCGGGAAUGGGAGCGCAAGAAUCCUAAGCCACUUCGUCAGAGCAAGCAGAAGUGGAAGUUUAUGCAGAAGUAUUAUCACAAGGGUGCCUUCUUCCAGGAAGGUGCUGAUGAUGUUAGUCAAUCAGCUGGUAAGGAUGAUAUUUACGGCCGCGACUUCUCCGCACCAACUGGUGAAGAUAAGAUGGACAAGAGCAUCUUGCCCAAGGUUAUGCAAGUUAAGCACUUUGGACGGAGUGGCAGAACGAAGUGGACACAUCUUGUCAAUGAGGACACUACAGACUGGAAUGCACCGUGGUCUACAAAUGGACCCUUGCGAGCGAAAUACAAUGCGAAAAUGGCAGGCAUGAAUGCUCCUAUUGCCAAACCAAAGGGAAGUAAGAAGAUGAAAGAUUGGGACACAAAACAGGAUGAUUAAAUGAACACUAGAUGAUGGCUGGUACUACUCUCUUACUAUCAUAGGGAUAAACGAAAGAGUAUGUAACCAUCUAUGGCUAGCUGCUUGUCAUGUACUGUCCUGCUAUGCUUAAUCAGAGACGAAUUGUGUAUAUAUUUUUUGCUGUACCUUUGACAUAUUGGUAUGCUUUGAACAUGUCAAUGCUUCAAGUUGUGGAUCUUUCAGAUCUGCAUUUCAAUUGUUUAUCAUUUUCUGUCAAAGUUCCAUCCCAUUCACACCCUUAUUAACAACAUCAUUACAUUGUUGGACAGUGAUAUAUAUGCCAGCCUCAGUGAUAUAUGCUUGUUGG